GCGUAAUAGCUCACUGGUCGAGUCGGCCUGCGCGGAAGAUGUAACGGGGCUAAACCAUGCACCGAAGCUGCGGCAGCGACACUAUGUGUUGUUGGGUAGGGGAGCGUUCUGUAAGCCUGCGAAGGUGACCUGUGAGGGUUGCUGGAGGUAUCAGAAGUGCGAAUGCUGACAUAAGUAACGAUAAAGCGGGUGAAAAGCCCGCUCGCCGGAAGACCAAGGGUUCCUGUCCAACGUUAAUCGGGGCAGGGUGAGUCGACCCCUAAGGCGAGGCCGAAAGGCGUAGUCGAUGGGAAACAGGUUAAUAUUCCUGUACUUGGUGUUACUGCGAAGGGGGGACGGAGAAGGCUAUGUUAGCCGGGCGACGGUUGUCCCGGUUUAAGCAUGUAGGCUGGUUAUCCAGGCAAAUCCGGAUAAUCAAGGCUGAGGUGUGAUGACGAGGCACUACGGUGCUGAAGUAACAAAUGCCCUGCUUCCAGGAAAAGCCUCUAAGCAUCAGGUAACAUCAAAUCGUACCCCAAACCGACACAGGUGGUCAGGUAGAGAAUACCAAGGCGCUUGAGAGAACUCGGGUGAAGG
Molecule: ribosomal RNA, 576 nt
Filed under: Klebsiella sp. K5-322
Lineage: Bacteria; Pseudomonadati; Pseudomonadota; Gammaproteobacteria; Enterobacterales; Enterobacteriaceae
Also listed under: 2 other names
Description: partial 23S ribosomal RNA
Rfam family: Bacterial large subunit ribosomal RNA
Source: RNAcentral